This 999-nucleotide ribosomal RNA is filed under the name uncultured marine bacterium. Its description in RNAcentral is "bacterial SSU rRNA". It matches the Rfam family "Bacterial small subunit ribosomal RNA", at positions 57 to 1100 of the family's 1533-position model. The record is from RNAcentral.
GCAAGUCGAACGAAGUAGCAAUACUUAGUGGCAGACGGGUGAGUAACAUGUAGGUAUCUGCCCUUUGGCCUGGAAUAACACGAGGAAACUUGUGCUAAUACCGGAUAAGUCUUUACAGAGAAAGCUUUGUGCACCAUUGGAUGAGCCUGCACUUGAUUAGUUUGUUGGUGGGGUAAUGGCCUACCAAGACUGUGAUCAAUAGCUGAUUUGAGAGGAUGAUCAGCCACAUUGGGACUGAGACACGGCCCAAACUCCUACGGGAGGCAGCAGUGGGGAAUCUUGCACAAUGGAGGAAACUCUGAUGCAGCGAUGCCGCGUGAGUGAAGAAGGCCUUUGGGUUGUAAAGCUCUUUCGUCGGGGAAGAAAAUGACUGUACCCGAAUAAGAAGGUCCGGCUAACUUCGUGCCAGCAGCCGCGGUAAUACGAAGGGACCUAGCGUAGUUCGGAAUUACUGGGCUUAAAGAGUUCGUAGGUUGUUGAAAAAGUUGGUGGUGAAAUCCCAGAGCUUAACUCUGGAACUGCCAUCAAAACUUUUCAGCUAGAGUAUGAUAGAGGAAAGCAGAAUUUCUAGUGUAGAGGUGAAAUUCGUAGAUAUUAGAAAGAAUACCAAUUGCGAAGGCAGCUUUCUGGAUCAUUACUGACACUGAGGAACGAAAGCAUGGGUAGCGAAGAGGAUUAGAUACCCUCGUAGUCCAUGCCGUAAACGAUGUGUGUUAGACGUUGGAAAUUUAUUUUCAGUGUCGCAGCGAAAGCGAUAAACACACCGCCUGGGGAGUACGACCGCAAGGUUAAAACUCAAAUGAAUUGACGGGGACCCGCACAAGCAGUGGAGCAUGUGGUUUAAUUCGAAGAUACGCGCAGAACCUUACCAACACUUGACAUGUUCGUCGCGACUUUAAGAGAUUAAAGUUUUCGGUUCGGCCGGACGAAACACAGGUGCUGCAUGGCUGUCGUCAGCUCGUGUCGUGAGAUGUUGGGUUAAGUCCCGCAACGAGCGCA